GGGUGCAGUUCCAGGAAUGGAGCGGGCAGGGCGUAGCGUUGGUCGGGCCGCCAGCG
Roseomonas sp. is the source of this 56-nucleotide regulatory RNA element. It matches the Rfam family "nhaA-I RNA". Rfam says of the family: Acidobacteria, Alphaproteobacteria, Betaproteobacteria and Gammaproteobacteria, Verrucomicrobia, cand. division NC10. NCBI's taxonomy places the organism in Bacteria, Pseudomonadati, Pseudomonadota, Alphaproteobacteria, Acetobacterales, Roseomonadaceae. The record is from Rfam.